This 255-nucleotide ribosomal RNA is filed under the name uncultured bacterium. Its description in RNAcentral is "partial 16S ribosomal RNA". It matches the Rfam family "Bacterial small subunit ribosomal RNA", at positions 524 to 776 of the family's 1533-position model. The record is from RNAcentral.
CACGUAGGGGGGCAAGCGUUGUCCGGAAUCAUUGGGCGUAAAGCGCGUGUAGGCGGUCCGGUAAGUCCGCUGUGAAAGUCGGGGGCUUAACCCUCGGAUGCCGGUGGAUACUGUCGGGCUUGAGUACGGAAGAGGCGAGUGGAAUUCCUGGUGUAGCGGUGAAAUGCGCAGAUAUCAGGAGGAACACCAAUUGCGAAGGCAGCUCGCUGGGACGUUACUGACGCUGAGGAGCGAAAGCGUGGGGGAGCGAACAGG